Molecule: long non-coding RNA, 1147 nt
Filed under: Heterocephalus glaber (naked mole-rat)
Lineage: Eukaryota; Metazoa; Chordata; Mammalia; Rodentia; Bathyergidae
Description: lncRNA (ENSHGLG00000040594.1)
Source: RNAcentral
UGUCCUGCAAGCGAGCCUCGGGACCUGGGUUCUCUGUGACGUCCUGGCCUUCAGCUAAGGAGCAUGUUGGCAUGGGAUGUGGGAAAUGGCAAGACCCCAGAAAUGGACAGAUAGAAGGAAAGACGGCUGCUAAGCAGACAUUAUGCUACACAGAGUCCAGGCCAGCCCAUGUCGCAGAGCGGUUACUUACAUUAAGAAAGGAUUCUGUGUCAAGUGUUUGAGUUAAUUUCUACCUCUUAGGAUCGAGGAAGUAGGGUUUAAUAUUUCCAUGUAGGGAGAGGAACACCCAGGCUCAGGGAAGUAACUGACCUACUCUCGCGUGGUUCCAGAGGUGGAUUUUCGGACACCAAAGUCGCUCUCCCACCCUGAAGGUCCCAUUCAAGCCAGAGCCGGAGUGUAAGGUCAUGGAUUCUCCCACUCGCUUGCCCUAGGGGUUAAAUUGUACACUGCCCCUGUUAAGGCAUAUCCAGGACUUUAAAGGUCUCCCUGUUGGCCAACACUAACCUGGGAUGGUGAAGUCAGGAUAAUGAAUUCCCUUCACUUACCCUUCAGAGAACUGUGAAGUGUGCUCAGCCAGGGCCAGCCUCGGUCUGACUGAUGGUGUCCCCAACGUACCAACAUUUUGGCCUCCUGUGGUCACAUGAGCCAGAAUGUGCAUACAUCCACAAGACCAUCCUGGGGCCAACGUUUCCAUGUUUGAACACAAUAAAAAAAUUUCAAGAUGGCUCUAGAACAGAGGUCAAUAUACUUAUUUUCAAGAUAGUAAAUAUAUUUGGAUUUGUGGUUCAUAUGAUCUCUAAGGGCUCAACGUCGCUUUUGUAGUGCCAAUAGCACGGACUAUGCAUAGGAGAAAUAGUGUGUUUGUGUCCCAAUAAAUCCUGUUUACAAAAACAUGUGGCAGGCCACACACCUAUUAGAAUAGCCAAAAUACAGAACACUGACGUUAUGGUUUAGAUCCAGAAUGUCCCCAAAAUUCUUACAGGAGUGGCUUCUGGAAGGUGAUUUGAUCAAGGUGGCUUAUACUAUUACUAAUGAAUUCAGCAACUGAGUGGGCAGAUGGGAGCUGGUCACUGACUGAGAAGACUUUAUCCCCCCACCCCUCCCCAGAUCCUCCCUCCUUUCUCUGCUUUCUGGCUCCCAUGAUGUG